GAUUCUUGUCUAUGGAGGGAAGCAAUGCUUGAACUUGCCUUGUGAUUUGCUUUAAUAAGAAUCUUUUGCCUUGUGAAACUCCAAAUGCUGUACAGCUAGAAAUUUUAAAGAGAAUGGGGCAGGAACAAAUUCUCGCCUUCUGUUCAAACUCAUGUUAUGUUCUUUUCUUCGUUUAGGGCUCUUCGCUUCAAGUCCAUGGUAUUCUUGCCUGUGUUCCGAUCUCCUUCUUGUACCCAUGCAUGCCGCCCUAGACUUUCGCCGAAAAAAAAGAUUCUUCAGCAGUCAUAUAUGCAGAAAGAAGAGAUAGCAGCCUCUUUCCUCAUCUACUUUCUGAUCAUUCAAAACAUAGAAGGAAGACCCAAAUUCUCAUGAGGACGGAGACAGUAGCUGCAGGUUAAUGGCAAUGGUAUUGUGGGCUAGUAUAAUUGAAUCAUGGUUAAACACCAGACAAAAAUGAAGAAAUUGCAUGCUUGAUUCCAUAAUAAUCAAUGCUUCAAGUCUUAAGUAACCAACUGAUCACUGAAAGGAUUGAAGUUGAUGGAAUCCAGGGGCAAGAAAGGAGUGAUCAAUGGCUAAAGAGAAGCCCACUAUGGAACACUUUGCCUUGCCGUUUUAAACUUCAUCCUCCUUUAGUUAUUCUGUGGGAAAAAAAGGAGAGGGAAUCGGUGCUCGAACUUGCCUUAUGGUCCAACUAUUUCACAAUUUGUUUUAAAUAAAAAGGUAAGAACCCAAGAACAAUAUUACAAGGCUCUGAUUUAUCCAAAUGCUGUACAGCUAGAAUUUUAAAGAGAAUGAGCCAGGAACAAAUUCUCGCGUUCUCUGUUCGAAGUCAUGUUGUGUUCUUUUCUUCUUUUUAAUGUUCUUCACUUCAAGUCCAUAAUAUUCUUUAUUCCAAGGAAUGAGAAAUUGUUCGGUCCUUCUGCAUUUCUCUUUCAAUAAUGAAUCUUGUGUUUCCAUUGAAAUUUCCUGCUCCCUUUUAAAGUCAUUCAGCAUUUCUCAUUUCCUUAACCAAUACUGUGUUCCCAUUAAAAUUUCCUGGAGCAUAAUAACCAAUUAUUUUCAGUCUUCUUCCUCAGAUUGUCCCCGAAAAUAUUGUGCUUUCUCAGCAAAUCUGUUGUAUGCUUCUUGUCUUUGGAAAUCCUGGGGUUUUGUAUAGAUAUUAUAUAGGUUCGUCAGUUCUUUUUUGUAUCGUGCAUUUUACUCUAAGGGCGUUGGACAUCCUGCAAGUAGAAUCAGCUCUAAACUUGUAUGAAUCCUAAUUCAUCUAUGAGAUUGACUUAAAUUCUCCUGAGUUUUCCAGGGUUAUACUUUUGCCAAAGCUUCUCAUUUCUGAAUUUAAUUUCAAUUUAAUCAUAAGCUCGUUAUAUUUCUCAGUACAAAUUAAGGGUCAGAUUAGCGCAGGGGAUCGUGGCCAGACUUUUGGAUGUUGCAUUAUCAUCACUUUGAAUUUUUCCUUCGAUGGUCCAACAGAGAGAACAAAGAGAAAUCUGAACUCACAAUCAUAUGCAGCAAGCAGAAGUCACGGCUCACACCCAUAAGAACAAGUUAAAGGUAGAUAGAUUUAGCAGAAAAGCCGCAAAGUUCCUAUAAAGCAAUGAAAACAAGCCUUUUUGUGCUGGCAACAACUCUCUUAAGAACCCUCCUCCCUCACAAUUUAUUGAAAACAAAAUGCCAAUUGGGACCAUCCAUCCAUGGGAGAAAACAAAGAAGAAAAUCCAACCUUUCAAGUAUGUGAAGGUCUGAAAGAACGAAGGAGUCGUAAAAAACUGCAUCCCAAUUUUGAUCAUAUCCUUCGCCAUCAAUGAAUAUGAAAGUGAAGGAAGGGCAUGUCGACUCUUGGUUCCAAAAUUUCUUUGUGGAGACCCACUGAAAGGACGACAAGCACGCUCUUGGCUGUCGUAGGCUUCAUGAUGUGUACAGAAAUGCAACCCAACCCCACAAUCUUCUCUUGUCUUCUCAUGUUUUCUGCCCAUUCAUCUAAUUAAGGCAUUCUCUUGACCUUCAGAGCUGCCUUCUUGUGUGUGAUCCCCAGUUGUUAAGACUUGUGGGGCUUGCACUCCAUGCCAAGCAUGUUCAGUGGUCAUCUGUCUAGUCUUUCAAAUUUGAACAAUGACCUUUCGGCUCGUACGUCAGAGCCUUUGUGGAUCGAAUGGUCUUGAAAAUUAGCCGACAACAGUAUAUCGGUACGGGCUUGCUGAUAGGUCAUAUUGUUUUAAUUUAAAAACAAAUGUUAACAGCGUGAAUAAUUUUUUGAUA
This is a long non-coding RNA of Populus trichocarpa (black cottonwood), 2256 nucleotides long. RefSeq lists it as uncharacterized. NCBI's taxonomy places the organism in Eukaryota, Viridiplantae, Streptophyta, Magnoliopsida, Malpighiales, Salicaceae. The record is from RefSeq and is a predicted model, not a curated record. The transcript is spliced from 2 exons.